This 253-nucleotide ribosomal RNA is filed under the name uncultured bacterium. RNAcentral describes it as "partial 16S ribosomal RNA". It matches the Rfam family "Bacterial small subunit ribosomal RNA", at positions 524 to 776 of the family's 1533-position model. The record is from RNAcentral.
UACGUAGGGCGAAAGCGUUAUCCGGAAUUAUUGGGCGUAAAGAGCUCGUAGGCGGUUUGUCGCGUCUGCCGUGAAAGUCCGGGGCUCAACCCCGGAUCUGCGGUGGGUACGGGCAGACUAGAGUGAUGUAGGGGAGAUUGGAAUUCCUGGUGUAGCGGUGGAAUGCGCAGAUAUCAGGAGGAACACCAAUGGCGAAGGCAGAUCUCUGGGCCGUAACUGACGCUGAGGAGCGAAAGCAUGGGGAGCGAACCGG